UAAUGUUUGAUGUUCUAACGUGGGCCCCUAAUCGGGGUUGCGGACAGUGUCUGGUGGGUAGUUUGACUGGGGCGGUCUCCUCCUAAAGAGUAACGGAGGAGCACGAAGGUUGGCUAAUCCUGGUCGGACAUCAGGAGGUUAGUGCAAUGGCAUAAGCCAGCUUGACUGCGAGCGUGACGGCGCGAGCAGGUGCGAAAGCAGGUCAUAGUGAUCCGGUGGUUCUGAAUGGAAGGGCCAUCGCUCAACGGAUAAAAGGUACUCCGGGGAUAACAGGCUGAUACCGCCCAAGAGUUCAUAUCGACGGCGGUGUUUGGCACCUCGAUGUCGGCUCAUCACAUCCUGGGGCUGAAGUAGGUCCCAAGGGUAUGGCUGUUCGCCAUUUAAAGUGGUACGCGAGCUGGGUUUAGAACGUCGUGAGACAGUUCGGUCCCUAUCUGCCGUGGGCGCUGGAGAACUGAGGGGGGCUGCUCCUAGUACGAGAGGACCGG
This 488-nucleotide ribosomal RNA is filed under the name Escherichia coli. RNAcentral's name for it is "partial 23S ribosomal RNA". It matches the Rfam family "Bacterial large subunit ribosomal RNA", at positions 2208 to 2695 of the family's 2925-position model. The record is from RNAcentral. Lineage: Bacteria; Pseudomonadati; Pseudomonadota; Gammaproteobacteria; Enterobacterales; Enterobacteriaceae.